CCCUUAGAUGUUCUGGGCUGCACGCGCGCUACAAUAAUACGCCCAGCGAGUAUCACCGAGCUCGAAAGGGCAAGGUAAACAAUAGAAAAGGUACUGUAAUGGUUAUAGAUCCUUGUAAUUAUUGAUCUUCAACGAGGAAUUCCUAGUAAGUAUGUGUCAUCAUCACGCACUGAUUACGUCCCUGCCCUUUGUACACACCGCCCGUCGCUCCUACCGAUUGGGUGAGCCGAUGAAACUCUCGGAUGUAGGCUAUUCAUAGCCCGCAGAAGAGAUUUGAAUCGUAGCGCUUAGAGGAAGGAGAAGUCGUAACA
Molecule: ribosomal RNA, 311 nt
Filed under: uncultured eukaryote
Lineage: Eukaryota
Description: partial 18S ribosomal RNA
Rfam family: Eukaryotic small subunit ribosomal RNA
Source: RNAcentral